UACGUAGGGUGCAAGCGUUGAUCGGAAUUACUGGGCGUAAAGCGUGCGUAGGUGGUUUGUUAAGUCUGUUGUGAAAGCCCCGGGCUCAACCUGGGAAUGGCAUUGGAUACUGGCAGGCUAGAGUGCGGUAGAGGGUAGUGGAAUUCCCGGUGUAGCGGUGAAAUGCGUAGAGAUCGGGAGGAACACCAGUGGCGAAGGCGGCUACCUGGACCAGCACUGACACUGAGGCACGAAAGCGUGGGGAGCAAACAGG
RNAcentral lists this ribosomal RNA (253 nucleotides) under uncultured bacterium. RNAcentral's name for it is "partial 16S ribosomal RNA". It matches the Rfam family "Bacterial small subunit ribosomal RNA", at positions 524 to 776 of the family's 1533-position model. The record is from RNAcentral.